This 1396-nucleotide long non-coding RNA is filed under the name Sinocyclocheilus grahami. RNAcentral describes it as "lncRNA (ENSSGRG00000034603.1)". The record is from RNAcentral. Lineage: Eukaryota; Metazoa; Chordata; Actinopteri; Cypriniformes; Cyprinidae.
GCCCGUGUGAAAUGCUGCUGGAUCCUUGUAGGGCCGAGUAUUCUGUUACGGAGUAACCAGAACAUGAGACGUGCCGAUCCAUGUGCAAAGCUUUUAUUAAAAGACGUGGUCACAAACACAGGCAGGGUCGAAACACCAGCGAACGGGUAUGGUACAGGCAAAACACAAGAGCAGUCCAGUAAACAGGCAUGGGUCGAUCGACGGUGAACAAUAUCCAACAGGGCAAGGCAAAGAGAGAUAAUCCAGGUACAUAGCAAUAAUCCAGGCAGGGGCAAACAGAGUCCGAAACAGCAAGACAAAAAGGGUAAUCCGAAAACACAGGCAAGAAUCUGAAAACAGGAAAACAGGCAAGGCGAGACUAUGACUAAACUAGCAAAACUGGAACCGGCUCCAUAAAGUGCUAUUACUAGGAGAGUAAUAAACGCAGACAAUACUUGGCGACUUGAGCAGGAUCUGGGUGGAUGUUAUAUAGUGUGUGUAAUAGCUUUCAGGUGAGCAUGUGAUUGGUUACAGCUGUGUGCAAUCAGUGCAAUGGAUGAUGGGAAAUGUAGUCCAGGGUAUAGUGUAACAGUCUGUGUAGUGUGAGAGUCCAUGCAGUGAGCGGGUGACCUAUGGUGGUGAGUGAACAGACGUUCAUAGACCAGAUUCAUGAAUGAAUAGAGCAUAUAUACAAUGUAAUCAGCUAUUGCCUGAUGCAGUUAACACUACUUUUCAAUAUAACUUCAAGACUUCCAUAUCAACCAAUAUAAUAUAAACAAAAAGUAGGCUACUACGUGCACCUUUAAAUACAGUUUAAAAAGAUACAUAUACAUAUACUGGUCUCAAAACACUAUACAAAACUUCUCUGAUCAGACAUAUUCUUCCACUGACCAAGCUAUUGUGUCCACAGGGGGAGAAGGGAAAGAAGGGCAAAAAGGGGCCUAAGGGGGAGAAAGGAGAACAGGGUGCCCCUGGAUUAGAUGCACCCUGCCCAUUGGGUCCAGAUGGACUCCCAAUGCCUGGAUGUUGGCAGAAGGGUGUCACGCCUUGGCUGGUGGCUUGAGAAAGUAAGAAUUGUGAUUGAUUGCUGGAUUUCUUUAUUGCAAAGAGGUCAGUGUGGCAACUGGCCCUCCAGCGCCUCGGUGUUGCUGUUGUGUAACUCUCACCUUGUAAUAAGAGUGACAACUUAAAGACUCAAAUUAUGGAAAUAGCAGGACACAAGAUGCAUCCACCAUCUGUGGCCGCUCGAGAGUAAGCAGGCAACUGAAACUCAGAAAUCUUUAUUAUUGGAUGGUGUACGUGAUGCAUGGAAAGUUGCUACAUUCAUCCCUCCAUCUGCAAACUUUUUUUUGUUCACUCUUCAGUGGGGUUCUUUUUGUAGCAGUGAGCUACACAGUCUGAUCUAUGUCUAGGAUGC